Non-coding RNA from Musa acuminata subsp. malaccensis (wild Malaysian banana), 437 nucleotides. The record is from RefSeq and is a predicted model, not a curated record. Lineage: Eukaryota; Viridiplantae; Streptophyta; Magnoliopsida; Zingiberales; Musaceae.
ACCGACCUUACUGGAAUCUGGGCACGAGAUGGCCGCAUCAAUGGCCUUAGGGGACAUCGCCGUGGACUCCCUGCCUUCGCCCUGCCUCGGGCUCGACGCGGCCCCCCGCUCAGGCCGCCGGGCUGUUCCCUCGAGCUCGGAAGCUCCUUCCUCGAUGCCUGUCACGCUCGACGCGGCCGCCUCGCGCCGGCGCUCUUGAAGCGGCAGACGCGAAGCAGGAGGACGUGCGGCCUGGUCGUGGCCGAGAUUGGCGGGCAGGACGAAGAGGGAUUCGACGACGUUCGUGUGGUAAAAGGCAACUAAUUAAUUACUUCACCUAUAAAGCAGCAAGGACUGUUCUCCACCAGCUGCAUGAAAUGAACCCACCAAGUUAUAUGUGGUUAUAUAAGACAAUAAACCAUCUGAUGGUAAACGCUUUCUCCGCAUACCGGCAAAGG